AAAAAAAGAAGCUGCUAAUGGAAGUUAUAUGUCCAAUUCAAAUCUUCUGAAUCAGCAAUAUUUUUCCCCACCCCACUUUUUAUUCAUCUCUAUCAAUGUCACUUCUUGAAAGUUGCUCAGAAACCACAUCCUUAUAGCCGUUGAAAAAGUUUCAUUAAUUGGAAGAUGAUAAAUACAAAGUGGCUGCUUUCAGCUUUCAACAUCAAUUCCCCACUAUUGCCACGGUACCACCCAGCCAUCACCCCACCAACAAAUUAAACUG
RNAcentral lists this unclassified non-coding RNA (262 nucleotides) under Hevea brasiliensis (rubber tree). The record is from RNAcentral. Lineage: Eukaryota; Viridiplantae; Streptophyta; Magnoliopsida; Malpighiales; Euphorbiaceae.